CUAGCCGCCCAAGCCGGUACCAGAGCAUUCUGGAGCGCUCUGCAGGCCAAGCAAGGGGGGGUGCUCUCCAUAAGUGGCCACCGAGGGCGCUCUCGGGUGGACUGCUGAGUGAAAAACAAGGUGCAGAACAGCAGUAUCCAGAAGUGUAAGAUGCCAUUUAGGAGCUGGUGUCCCCCUGCAGAUGGAGCCGCGGAACACCCAAACCCCGACGUCUAACUGCUGAUGACUAUCUCGGGCAUCACAGGAACAGCACUGCCAAUGGAAGGCAUUGUAAACGUACGCAAGAUCAGUGCUCUGGCCAAUGGCGGCAGAUGGCUGUCACUAAAGACUUUCUAUCAAGGGCAAAGUCAGGUUGAAAAGUGGAUUGCAUGUGCUUCGAGCAUUGGCUGCCUUGCAAAUACUGUUGAUGUUUGAUCCUGGGAGCUUGUGUGUGUGGUUCAGGCUUUGAGAAUUAAGUCUCUAACUCAAAAAGUUAUUCAAUACAUCAUUAAUUACAUCAAGCACUGAAAGAAAAACUGAUAAUAUCUGACUACUUGCUGGUUAAAAGUUAG
This is a non-coding RNA of Manis javanica (Malayan pangolin), 551 nucleotides long. NCBI's taxonomy places the organism in Eukaryota, Metazoa, Chordata, Mammalia, Pholidota, Manidae. The record is from RefSeq and is a predicted model, not a curated record.